Molecule: ribosomal RNA, 253 nt
Filed under: uncultured prokaryote
Description: partial 16S ribosomal RNA
Rfam family: Bacterial small subunit ribosomal RNA
Source: RNAcentral
UACAGAGGGUGCAAGCGUUAAUCGGAAUGACUGGGCGUAAAGGGCACGUAGGUGGCUUUAUAAGUUAGGUGUGAAAUCCCCGGGCUUAACCUGGGAACUGCAUUUAAUACUGUGAAGCUAGAGUAUGGGAGAGGGCAGUGGAAUUUCCGGUGUAGCGGUGAAAUGCGUAGAUAUCGGAAGGAACACCAGUGGCGAAGGCGACUGCCUGGCCUGUUACUGACACUGAGGUGCGAAAGCGUGGGGAGCAAACAGG